This 29-nucleotide non-coding RNA is filed under the name Homo sapiens (human). Lineage: Eukaryota; Metazoa; Chordata; Mammalia; Primates; Hominidae. The record is from RNAcentral.
GCCAAAGCUUUCUGCAGGAGGGUGAAUGC